Panthera uncia (snow leopard) is the source of this 16367-nucleotide long non-coding RNA. RefSeq lists it as uncharacterized. The transcript has 4 exons. The record is from RefSeq and is a predicted model, not a curated record. Lineage: Eukaryota; Metazoa; Chordata; Mammalia; Carnivora; Felidae.
UCUGCUGGGAUCGGGGGCGAUGUCUCUGCGUAUGUGGGUGCUCUGUCUUUCUCACCUUCUUUCUCGCUUUUUUGCUAUUUUUUCUCUGAGAGAGGUUUUUUGUGUGUUGUUUUUUUUUUUUUUUUUCCACUUUAAUUUUCUUUUCUUUUAGUGUCAGCUGCUCAAGCCUGACCGGGGUAGAGGCUAGAGGAGCAAGCUGUCCCCGGCGUCCCACCUGACCUACCAGCCUUUGCCCCCGUUUCCUUCUUUUGAACAGACAGACAGACUGGUUUUCCAGGUUGUUUGGGUAUCCGCGUCUGUCUGUCCAUCCACGUCGUUCUUAGGUGGCAGGUAGGAAGUGAGGAGGAGAGGUGCUGGGAGGAAGGUGGAAAGGCAUAGCUUUCCAGGGGUUGCCUUAUUGAAAUGUUCAGCCUCGGGGCAGCUGGGCUGGUGGGGAGCCGGUGGGCAGGAUGGGGCGUGGGUUGGGAGAAGUGGGGUAAAGCUGGUAGGGUUGUCACUGCGUAGUUGGGAAAAGUGGGGAAUGGUGACGCAGUCACUGUUGCAUCUUGUUAGGAGCUCCAAGGGGGACAGGUAGUGAGGCUCCCGGCAUCUGUAGGGCCAGCUGAGAGGGGUUAGGGAUGAGCUGAGAAGGGAAGCUAGCAUUUAGAGAUUAAAUGUCAUCCUUUUGGCGUUGGAAAGUUGUUUACCUUGCGCUCUCUGUGUCUCCAUGUUGGCACCCUUCCAGUUCACAUGUGAUGGCCUUCCUUGUACUGCUGCAUCAUUAACUAAGUGACUGAGCUGGCCUUCCAUUGGCCAGGGGAGGGCUCUCACUCCAGACAUUUCCUCUGAUUGGUGGGUGGGCCAAUGGCAGGUGAAAACCUUUUUUUGAUUGGCUGAGGGCAGGGUAUCAAAUCUGAAUUUGCAUUUCACUUGCUUAAAGGGGAGGGGGGGAGAAGCCCAGCAGCUUUCUAAAAUCUGUUUAGGGGUGUGCGUAUGCUCCUGUGUCUGUGCCUGCUUUUGACUGACCAGGUGAAGCCUCUUCCUAUGCCUUUUUUAUUUCAAGCACUCAGAGGAAGAGGAGCUCCGGGUUCCCCAAACUUUUUGUGUGUGUGUGUGUGUGUGUGUGUGUGUGUGUGUGUGUGGAGUAGGAAGGGUUGGAGAGAUGGGUGCGCAGAGGGUUGACCAAACUGGAAGGAAGUAUUUGUCCUUUAGUUUGGUGUCGGAAAAGGGAAUUUUCCAAUCAGCCACACCUCGGUGUUGCGGCACAAUAAUUCUUGGCUCCCCUGGAAACGCACGGGGCAAGGUAGGACAGAUCUGCUGCUGCUGACACUGCCACCACCAUGGGCUUCCUGCUGCCUCUGGGCUGCUCCCUGGGGACGAGAGAUUUGCAUUGACGGGGCUGUCCAGAGCUGAGCCCAGUGUGGGAAAGACCUGCCUUCUGGAAGCUGCUGCUCCUUGGUCUUGGAAAGGUGCCACGUCAGGCUGUUCCACGGACCUUCUUUCAUUCACUGCUUUCCACAACCCUCCGAGGAGAGUCCCGUGGCUGAGAACUCAGAGGAGUUGAGCUCCAUGAGUCGGUGACAGCCUCCUGGAGACUCAGGCUAAGCUGGGGACAGAGCUGGUGUGCAGAAGACAGCCAUCAUACCGCCUAAUAGAAUGGCCCGUUUGCAUUUAUUUGGAACAAAAAAAGGAGAUGCCUGGCAGCCUGGCUUUCUGCAGCUAAGUAUUCGUCUGCAUUCUGGUUUUCCGUCACACAUCGGAAGCGAUAGAUGUUCAUUGAACCCACCCAGCUGUCGUGACUUCUCCUGUCCCCGCGCACCCCUGCCCCUGAUCCUCCAGCAGAGAUUGGAUUUUCUGGUGCGGCUGGAGAGCUGCAGAGAGGUUAGAUCCCAGUGUCCAGCCCCCGCACAUCGCCCUCACAUUCAGGAGAAGUCGAUUUUCCCUAAAGCGGAGCCUAAAGCCCAUGUUCCUCAGUGCGGUGUUAUUAAUGGGCCGACGGAAAGGGCCCUGCUUGCCCUCACUGCCCCCAGCGGGGAGGUGAGGCUCUCGGCUGGCUGGCUGGGGGAGGACGGUCCUUGCCAGCAUCUAGCAUGGUUCUCUGCCAAGUUCUAGCUCCAAAUCUCUAGGCCGCUAGGAACCUAGACUAUAUAUAGCAUUGUGCUAAGCAAUUCUUAUCGGACAUGUCUGCCCUCCCCUGCGGGAGAGGAGCCCUUCUCCCAGGGAACCGGAACCUAGAGAGUGUGAGCCUUCUCCAAGGGGUCUUUCGUUCCAGGAAGGGCUGUGUGUGUGUGUGUGUGUGCGCGCGCGCGCGUGGCUGUGUCUGCUUCAGGGCUGCCAAGCUUUCUUUCCUUUUCCCUGUUUCAGAUGCUGCGAGAUCGGAAGGUCUGAUUGGGAUGAGGGCCAGGAGGUUCUUGAUGGUGUGCGAUGUGGCCUAUGGCGCCCACCAGCCUCCCGCAUGUCUUCUUGGUUUCCUGUUUGCCUUCUUUGCCCAAGGAGGUCUUCUGACCUCUUGAGCUUCUUUUGGAUCUCCUGUCUUCCCUGCCCUCCUCUACCUCUUCCUCCUCCUUCCUUUGAUUCUCUUUCGGGUAUGUGACGGCAGACUGGGCUACGGGCAUCCGGGAGCUGUGUCUGCUCGCCGCCCUCACCACCGCCCCCUCCCCCCGCCCCCCACCAGUUUGGGGUUUCUGGAAAUCUGGCUUUAGUCAGCCGUCCUCUGGAGGAAUUGGGUGGUGACUGAGCGUUUCGUGCUGGGUGGUACAGGGCAGAGCAGGCUGGAUAUUUGCCUCCUCCCUCCCGUAGGUGCUGUUGAGCCACCGAUUUUCUGUGGUUCCGCGACCCCGAGUGCUGACUGAUGUGACAGGUUCCGGUCUUGUCAGUGAAUCAUCGCCAAGCUGCUUAUUGGAACCCAGAUGCAGCAAGAAAAUGGGAUUUAACCCCUUCCCGGCCUCUCAGGUAAGUCAGGUGUGGGCUGACGCUUCCGGCCCCCCCCCCCCCCACCUCCCAGCCCCCUUCCCUUCUCAUGGAGACCAUUUUCCUUAGUCAGUGGGGAAUCCUCAAACGUCUCCAUUCACAAUCUCCCAAACAAUGCUCUCUUCUUUCCAUUCUCCUACUCCUGGCUUUUCUGUGAAUGGGGUUAGUAACCAGCAAGGACUUGGGGGAAGGGCCAGCCACAGUGAUCCGGCUGCCGGGAUGUGGGAGAUGGCAGGGACGCGUUUCUGGGUGUGGCAGUCAGCAGAGCAGUUGGGCCUCCCACAGUGACUGGCCGGGAACUCUCCAUGGCCCCCAACAUCCAGCAGGAGAUUCUGGGUUUGAGCCCGGAUGGGGGCAGGGAGUCUGCCUGGGACUUGGGUGUGCCCUUACUUGUGUAUCCCAGUGGAUGUUCACUCUGACUCUGGACACCUUGGGGCUUGCGUCUGCAGCCGUAGCCUGGAGUUUAGAGUAUGGGCUGGGCAGUAGACUUCAGGGCUCUUUCUCCACUUGCGUGUGUUAUGGGGCUUGUUUUGGGGGUUUUUUUGUUUGUUUUUUGUUUUGAGUAAAUCACUCUCUUCCUCUAGGCCCUCAUCGCCUUCACCUUAAAAAAAAAAAAAAAAAAAAAAAAAAAAAAUUUCCUGGCCUGGUAAACCAUUGCAAAGCAUCUCCAGGCUGUUGAUGUACAAAUGUUUCUUCUCUGCCUCACUUGAUGCUGGUCACAGUAAUAGCAACGGUGAUUAAAAAUGAUGUCGGGACUGACUGCAGAACUGGGGAGGCCUGUCGCAUUCUAGAGACAGUUCAGAAAGCAGACCGUAGUCGCUUGCCACGCUGCCUACCAGGAAAUCUCCUAUUGAAUGCAUUCCUGCAAUGUUCUGGGCGAGCAGGGUCAGGUUGGAAUUAGCUGACAGCAGAUUUGUCUGGGGUCUCAAGAUAAAAGGGAUGGUCCCCGGUAAUUUUACCGCACCCUUGGCUGAUAUCCGGAGGCACCUGUGAGAUCCCACCUCUGCUCUCCCCACCCCCUUCCCACCGCUGGCCAGGAAGGACCGGUGAAUUCUGCCCGUCAGUGUUUUAUCUUCUCUCCUCCCCAUCUGACCGGAGGCUGAGCUGGCUGUGAGCAGCCUGAGGUCCUCCCCGAGUGAGGAAUCCGAGGCUGUUGGGAAGAGACACCCGACUCUUCUCUUCCCUGAAGGAAUUUGACAAGUCUCAGCCCCUCCAGCAGUAACGUGGGGAGGGAUGGCUGGGGGUGUUGGACCUGGAACACGAAUAAAGAGGAGAGAUCAGCUUUGGUGCAGCUGGGGAGACGAGGAGGAGCCGGCCAAGUCCCUCAAGAUGUGUCGGCUAGAGUCUGGCCAGUGCAGGCUGCCGGGCCGGAGCCAGAUGGAGCCGCUGGCCACGCUCGGGAGCCUCUGCCCCCAUAUGGUGUGGUGUGGUCCCGGGCCUGGCUCGGGGUGGCCGCUGCUCCCAUUCACAGCCCUGCCCUGCCCUUGGCUGGACUGGGAAGAUGAGAGUGGGAAGCGGAGGGAGAGUUGAUUUUGCUCCUUGUGACGCAGUUGUCUGCGGGGCCUCUGGCGUUUCCAGACUUGGGGUGGGUGCUUCCCCGUUGAUUUUCCUCAUUUCGUUCGUCAUCUGCUUCCUUGCUCCCUGCUUACCGGGCUGGCUUCUGCUGCCAUGACACGGGCAUUACGUGUCCCCAGCCAAGCUAGCACCACGGUUGGUGUCCCCUGAGAGGGGGACCGGGCAUAUCUGGCACUCGAUUCUCAACCUUUGAACCCCUGCGCUCUGGGAGCCAGGAGGCAGAGUGGGGCCUCUCCAUCCGGGGUCCGGCAGAGGUUAACAGGGCUGGUGGUGCCGGAGCUGCGGUGGUGUGGCCUGGCCAGGAGGCGCUGGGGAGGGGCCCCGCCGGGGGACCUGAUUGGUCAGCACCUUCUCUGUUCCACUGAAUCCUGAGCCGGUCGGGGCCGUGAAUUGUUUAAUGCAUAUCUUGGCUCUGUCCCCUGGCACGAGGGCCUCUGAGGCUGCAGCCACAGCUUUAGCGAGGAUGUGUACCUCGUGCUGGUCACUGUUUUGGGCACGUUGCCUCCCUGUGAGAUAUGAAAGAGAUACUGCCCUUUCCGCUAGCAGGCUGUCUGUGGGAGGCCCUCCUUUUGCGUUGCUUUUCUGGGCCUUGGAGUGUCUGUGAAGAAGGCCUAGGCUGGGUUUGAUUCCUUGCCGGCUCCUUUCACAGGAGGCUUCUCGUGAGCUGGUGAAGCCAGAGAAAACCUCCAGGCCCCAAGGCCCGUGCACAGCCUGAUGCGAUAGUGUCGGGCCUGGGCAGGAAGGAGCAGGGGCACGAGGAUGGAGCGAGGCAUGCGGGGACGUGGUCGCGCAUCGUCUGACCACAGGAUCAGGGCAGCGGGGGUGGGGUGGGAGGAUGCGUCCGGCGUUCAACCCGCGGUGCCCGCUGCAGCCUGGAAUGGGCCUGUGUGUGCGUGGAGCCCAGGUCAGGGUCUGUAAUGAGGCGUGAGGCUAUGAGAUGGGCAUCGGGACUCUUGGUCCCGGCAGAGGGUCCCAGGAAAGGGAAACUGACUUUCGUUAAGCGUCUGUCUUUGCUGGUCUGAUUUCAUCCUCAGAGCAACCGCAUGAAGUAGGUAUUACUUCCCUUCAACAGAUAAGGAAGCCGUGAGUAGCAAUUCACUGAACCAAGGUCACGUACUUGGCAAGUGGGAUUGUUGAGAUUUAAACCCCGGCACUUUGGAUUCCAAAGCCUGUGCUUUCUCUUCGCCCUCUUGGGUGGAAGUCAGACAUCUUUGGGAGCUAAGACCAUCAGAGAUUAGGCAGCCGGGAGAUCUGACGGAAACCGGUGUGAAAGGCCAGGUGCCUAGGGGGACGGGGCAGCCACUGGCCAUAGCCAUGCCAUAUCCCUUUCGGGGGGAGGGGGGCAAGGCAGAGACAGCUAGUUCCUGGUGUCCCUGAACAGGCAGGGCUGAGCAUGGCAGAUACACCCACUCCACAAGUGUGCGCCCAGUCUCUGCUUCGUGGCGGGGCGUGUGCUAGGAGCUGGGGGCGCAGAACUCUACAAAACCAAGUUUCUGCUCUCAUGGGAUGUACUUUCUGGUGUAGGGAGAGGUCAUUCACGAUAAUAAAAAAGGAACUAGGAACUAUAUAAAGUAUGCAGAUACAAAAAGGGGGACACCCACCCAUAAGAAGCAGCGAUCCCAAUGUUGGUCAGGGAGGGAAUUUGAGAGACUGAAGGAUCUCGACCACCUGGGGAAGCCAUAUUGAUGGAGCCCCCAGAGUUCAAGUUGAUAGAGUUGCUAAUGUCUCUCUUUUCCUAAGAGCUGGAAAAACCACCCAAGGUCCCCAAAGCUUACAAGAACUUGCAGUGAGUCAGGGAUCAAGGUGGCAGUAGACGUCAAGCUGUUGGUCACCAGCAAACGAAGAUUUUUCCGUUAGCCAUGGCUGCUCUUGGCCUAACAUCUCCCCCCCUCACCGGGUGGCAGCUGGCGUCUCUCUGCCUCAUCACGGUGCCCCUCUCUCGUCCACACCGACGGGAGCACUCGGGUUAAGUCUUCGCCAAGUCACCAGUAAAAUAUGUGCCUGCAGGAGACAGAACUCAGCUCAGGCUCUCCUGGCAGAACCCGUGGUUCCAAGAUUAUCGCGAUAGGGACGGGUCAGGGGGCGGGAGAGGGAGGAGAAGUCACCUUGUGCCAGAUGCUUGGACAAGUUUUGUGUCCAAAAGAGGUUGAGGCAAGUUGGUGGCUGGAGAUGGGGGAGGGGAUGUUUCCAGCGUGUGUGGCUCCAGGGCUCAGGAGUUGUUUACAGGGUAGAAGCUUAUGGUGAGUCAGGCCAUGUGAUUCUUCCCUCCCUGGCCCCGUGGUCGAAGCCUGCCCCACUUGAACCUCGGAGACUGCCACCUGCUGCCAGGGGGCAGAUGUUGCACGAAGGUGCGGUGUGGGUCUUGGGGUGUGGUUGUGGGAACUCCGGGAAAGGGGGCGUUCUGUGGCGUGGUAUAGAAGACUCCGCAGUCCCGUGUUCUGGCCCAGGAUCCCGUGGUAAAAUCUUACUCACUUUACCCUUUUGGGACUCAGUUUCAUUAUUUAUAAGAUGAGGGGGUUGAACCAGAAUCUUUUGGGAGGUGCCUGCCGACUCUGACAUGGGGGCUACUUGGGUGUUCGCGGAGGUGUUUCUUAGGCAGAAACUCAGGUCGGAACUAGCAGGCCUGACUUACGGGAGAGGGGAGGAGCCUUGAAGGAUCUGAGAACAGCUACAGUCCUGUUUUCUGCAGGGAUGCUGUCACCAUCAAUUAGGGCAGGUGGGUGGAGACAGUUUUCCAGGAACUCUUCAGGAGCGAGCGGGAAGGGGCCGGAGAUUGCGUGAAGGUGUCUCAGGAAGGUCACCUAAGUGACAGGGGUUGUGACCUCUGGCUCCCACCAAGGGGCCUGUCUGGAGCUGGGCAGUGUGGGAGCCGCUGGGGUCUUUGCUGUGCCAAAGGGGCUGACCUGAGAUGCCACCGUGCUCUAGGGAAGACGCUCUGUCCUUUGUGGCCCUGAAUCCUUGAGGGAACAUGGGACUACAGGUCCCGUGUCCUGGGCCUUCCCUGAGAUGUCUGUUCAGGGUCUGUGCCCCUUGCUGUCAGGAAGUCUUCCUUUAUAUUUAGCCAUUUUUUUUUCUCAUGUGGUUGUUUAAGCCCUUCUAUUUAAAAAAAAAAAAAAAAAAAAAAAAGACAAGAGGAAAAAAAAACAGAAAACAAAAACAAAAAUAUCUCCGAGCCGCUUGGUUCCAUUUUAGCUUUUCAGUCUUGAGUCACUGUUUUAAAGGUAGCAAAAGUAAAACACAUGCAGGGAAGCUCAAGGCCCCAGACCCUCGUGGGCUGUUGUGAAAGGCCAGCCCGGGGAUAUGGCGGCCUCUGUCCCCAACGUCCCCCGCUUCUCCAAGUCUGCGUGGGUAGGAGCCCCUGGGGCUUGCGGGCACAUGCUGCGCGGGCCGCCGAAUGGAAUGCAGGGUUUUCAAAUUAGCAAUAUGCCUUCAAGACACGAUCCGUGUGCUGCUUUACUGGACACUUACGCUGGGACUCGUAGCUGUGAGCCCGCCCCCUUCCCCACCAGGGUGGGGUGGCAAACAGGGAUUUGGGCCAGGAUUCAGGCAGGAGCCGAACUGAUCCGUGACCGACGUCUUAUGCGCACCGUGUGUUGUUUUCGCAGCUCUUUUCAGAUUCGCUGGCUCGCUUGGUCCUCACACAGCCCUGUGAGGGUCGGCGGUGGAUCCCCGUGGGUGUUCACGCUCAGCCUCAGACAGCCCUGCUGAGGUCCGGUUUCUUGUACCUGCUUAAUUUGGGUCACCGCACCCCCCCCCCCCCCCGCCCCCAGGCCCUCCGACUCCAGAUGUCAUUUCCUUGGGUUUCAGUUGUGCUCUUUAGCUGAGCAGGGGGGCAGGGCAGGGAUGGGGAGUGCAUCUUGGGUAGCUGACUUGAACUCUGUAGGUUGCAGGUUUCUUUUCUACGCAUUCAGUGGGGAAGGGAGCCUCCGCCCAGGUUCUCCUGUUCUUGGAUUGUUUCAACUUCUCUUACGAGUUCUUAUGAAACCUGGCUUGCCCUCCUUGACCAGGAAGCCAGCCAUUCACCAUGUGACUCUGGUGAGACUCCCUACGCUUGGAAGCUUCUGGAAUACACGGUGCUUUAGACCGUUCCGACACAUCUGUCAGGCACUUCAGGCAUGUGCACGUAGCCCUGUUUCUGCCAAGUGGCUCACUUAGAAAUGAAGCCCCAUUGUGGGGCAUUUUUUUUUCCAACAGAUUUAUAAGGUAUGCCCAGAGCUUUCUGCCCAGCGUGUGCAUUGUGUAUACGUUGUCUGUUUGCUGGCUAAUGAACGUACAGCGCCCGCUGGAAGGAUUGGCCAAUGUAUAGUGUAGGCUGGUGGAACCAGUGGCUUCAGCUCUGAACGUUGCUUUCUGAUAGAGUUGAAAAAGUAGGCCUUACCCACAGAGGGGAAGGUAGAUCAGAGAACGCCUGGGCAUCAGUGUUCCCUGGAUCCUGGGUGUAAGCUCACUCUUUAUGAGGAGGGUCGAGGCACAGCCUGGACUGUGUCUUCUGGGCCGCGUGGCCCUCUGAGUGGCCUUUAUUCAGAGAGACCCAGAGCGAGCCUGUAUGAAGGGAGAGAGAAGUGCUUGUCUUUGUUUAUGGCACCCUUAACUCGUGAUGGUUUGGGCUCACCUCGGGCACGUUUCUUGAAGGAUCGGGGUCGGACAGCGUGGCAGCACGCAUAUGUCUGUCCGUUUGUAUUCCCCGGAUGCAGGCUUGGCUCGUAGAGAAGCCCUGUCAUGGGGAAUCCAUAGAAGAAUUGUUUUGCUGGAGCGAAGGCUUUUGGUAACUUUUGUGUGAAGAUGCGUCACGCCACACCCAGAUCUUUCUGUUCUCCUGGAGGAUGGGGAGGAGGAUGGCAGGACCUGUAGCUGGGAGGCGAUCUAGGCCAGCCUUCAGGGAGGGCUGUGGCGGCCUCUUCGCUGAGGGCUCCCAAAGAGACACAGAGCUUCUUUAUCUCAGAAGAGGGACUGGAUGUCCCUGUCGAGGUCCCUCGGGUCCUGAGCGUGUGGGACUGUGAGGCUCUCCCUGGAACAGCGUGAGCUUCGGGUACCGGGACCCAGAGCAGGUUGCACAUCUUUUCUUUCUGCCGUGGAGGCAAGCCUAACCUCGGUGGGCCCCACGAACAUCGGGCCUGGAGCUCUAACCUUGUUCCCUCGUGCAGAGAGAAUUCCCAGAACUGACCCGAACGGCAUUGAUAUUAUUUGCAAAUAAAAAAAGGAGAAAGCCAUGUUGUCCCUCAUCGCCGCCAGGAAAGAGCCCUGAGCGGCUCUAAUCCUGUCUUUGUACCACUGCCACUCCCCACCCUUGCUGACCCCCCCAGCCUAGGGCCCUUUGAUAGGCACUAGAGAUGUGAAUGAGUUUGGUGGGAAGGCCAAGGGCAGGGACAGACAUGGUUUGCUGGGAAGAAGGUAGGACAAGGAAAAGGAGUAUCUCAGGGAAGGCCCACGGGCACACAUGUGUAUUCAGAUGGACAUACUAUUUACUGGUAACGCCAGAGUCUGACAUAAACCAGUUAAUGCCUAAAUGAGGGUUGAUUUCGUGUGGAGAAUCAUACAUCAUUUUGUGUUUAAGUCUGCAGCUUUAGCAUCAAAAGGCCUGACAGGCUGGGGACUUUUUGCUGGGCCCUCCUGUCUGUAAGAUCAUGCUCAUUUUAUAUUGAUUUUCUGUCUCCUUUCUUUCCUGUUUUCCACUCUCAUGCAUUCCUUAGGUGUACAUGAAUAUUCGUCCAUGCAUUCGUGUUACGACUUCCUUGGGGUACUGUUCUUUUCAGUGUCUCCGACAUCAUUGAAUGUAUUGCUUUUAUUUAAAAUGUGAACAGGCCAGAGGCUCACUGCAGAGGGGAGCCAUCCUUGCACUGCCCACAGAAUCCUCUUCUCUACCUUGUUCUGGAGUGGGGCAUGUGGAGCCCUGAGGAGACGGGAAUCAAGGGUGUCUGUGGGAACCAGCCAGACCCCGUGCCAUGCCCCCUCUUUGGGAAGGGGUUGCUCAGGCAUGAAUCCCCCACCCCUAACAUUAUUAGCGGUUUCUUCUUUUCAGCUUGAACCCUGAGUAGUGGCCUUGAAAGUCCAAGAACACCUGUCACCCUGCUUAGGUGAGGGCGACACAGAGGGACGGGGACAGACGGGAAGGGGACACACGCUCCUGGCCACGGGCCUCUCUCCAAGACAGGUGAACUCUGUGUUCCAAAAGGAACUCAUUUAAUCUUUUGGCCCCAAUGGAAGUUGUUUGUAUUUUCUCUCCCUCUCUCUUCUCCCUCCUCUCUCUCUCCCUCAACACCCCCGCCUCCACCCUCCAGCCUCCAAAAGAAUUUAAUCUGCUGGACAACAAACAAUACUGUUAUAAAACUUUGAAAACAAGAGGGUGAGGCCUCCCUGACAAGGAGAAGGGCAUGCUGGGUAACGGCCGAGGGAGCCUGCCAGGCCCGGGACGGAGCCGGGCGAGGGCCCAGUUGGCCGGGUACCUGGGCGCCUGCCCCCGCCCAGCCCACCAGCCCAGCCAUCCCCAGUCCAGAGGGGAAGGAACCGAAACAAAAGCAGGGGCAGAGAAGCGCCUGGAAAGGGGAAGUUGUACGUGUUCCCCUCUCUCUGAUCUGAUGCGAGUGCGCCAGACUGUGAAACUUCCUCCCCCACCCCUCCCCCCCGCCAGCCUCCCUCCCUCCUCGUCCUGCCUCCUCCUGCCUCCUCCCACCACUCUCUGUUCCAGGCCCGAGGCCCGAUAACAGAACAGGGCUGGCCUAGGUACAGCCACCGGCCGGCCGGCCGCAGGGGAAGCAGGCAAGGAAGGUGUUCCAAGUUGGCUUUGGACUCUGGACGUACCCUCUGCGUCCCCUUCCUGCCCCCAGCGAGAGAUGUGGAGCCACGGUACGAGGUGUGCCCCAGUCCACGUGCCCCGCCGGCACACGGUACCGUGUGCCCAGGUACCGGGAGAACCUCCGCUCGGAGGUUAGUGGGUCUGUCCCACUACCCGGUGUCUGCUGGAGGCCAUGCUCCCAGGAGGCUGUCAGACUCGUACAGGUGGCCUGCUCUCCCUCCAGAGGGAGCCGGGCUGAGCUGUGGAGCCCUGGAGCCUCCAGAGGGGCUCAGGGGACAGAGACUUGCUCCCCGCAGCAAGCAGGCACAGGGUCCUGGCAGCGGAGUGCCUGGUGGGGUACCGUGUCUGCUGCCCGGGGUGACCCAGCUCCGCCUGGGGAGCAGGGAAGCUGGGCGCUGGGGCAUCGCCCCCCAGCCUUCUGAGUGAGAUUUCACCUGAGACCGAAGUUUCGCUGCCACGCCCACCUGCACUGCGUGGAGCACAUGAUUCGGGGCGGGAGAGUGAGAAGCAGCGGUGGUCUGCCUUUGGCCCGAGGUUGUUUGGACCCGUGAACCGUGUGGUGGGCAUUGUGUUUGUGUAAUGGACUGUAGGCGUGCUCGCUUUCCUCUCGUGGGAAGCAGUUCAGGGCAGUGCCCGUCCUCCUGCUCUGCCUGAGCGAAGCCUCUCUCUGGGGAAGCGUGGGGGGCCCCCCCCUCUUCAUUCCAUCGCUCCUCCUUCUCUGCGCUCCCCACUGUCCCCUGCUGCCCCCCACGCCCCACGGCACCCCAAGGCAUCCCAUCCUCCCAGCCAGCCGACCAGCCAUCCCGAGCCUGGGCCUGUACUGAAUCUGGAGGAUUUCCAGAUGCGGGUCUUCUCUGGUGUUGAGGCAGGGACAGAGAACCGAACCGGGUGGAAAGCAGCUGCCUGGGAACUCAGGCCGCGGUGCCCCGGCCCCAGGGAAAACCGGAAUUGCUGAUGUGGGGCCCAUGUGAUGUGAGCAGGCUGUGACCUCCUGCCCUGUUACCUCCACAGGCAUUUGAGGGGCUCAAUGGGUCUAGAGCGUGUUAUUCCCACUUCGGGAUGCCGGGUCUGGGACGUGUAGGGAUCCCUGGAUGCCCCGCCCUCCUUUUGGGGGCCAAGCUGCCAGGAAAAGAGCCAGCUCCAUGUUUCCUGCCUCCCUCACCCUCCAUUCCCUCCUCCCUCGCCCCCCGUGCCCAUACCCGUACACAUUUUAUCACCCUUUCCUCUGAUUCAUUAACCACAGCUAGUUGGCAACAGGCCCCCACCCUGACAGCUCAAGACAAAAUGUCCAGGACGCUGGGUCUGGCCUGGAGCUGAGUGACAGGAAGCUGGGCCGGGCUCUCGGCUCACGCAUACGAUGGGCAAGGACCGUGUGGAGUGCAGAACCUUCCUCAUUUUCAAAAGGGUCUUCCCCAGGCCCCUCUCUCUCACCAAGAUGACUCUUCUUCGCUGCCAGGAGCCUGGAAACCAGCAUCCCGGGUAGCAGGAAGACCUGAUCUGGGCUCUGCUUCCGGCACCCCUCCCCCGCGCCGGCUGGAGCUUGCGUCAGUCAUGUAAGUAGCCGUGACUCAGCACCCAGCCUGGUCGGGAGGGAGGCAGAAGACGCCUCCCAGGAACCUUCCCAGCAUUCUGGAUUUGAACACAUGGUGGUAGCUGAACACACUGAACGAGCUGGCGGCCUUCGGUUCCUGGGGGUGCGUGUCUGUCCGUUCCGCGGGUUUGCUUAUAGGUCUCAUAAACCGGGGUUCCUCUCCUUCCCAUUUUCAUCCCGUGUUAUUUUUUGGACACCAUGCCUGGCAUAGGAUUUUUAGGACUUUAAAAGGCACAGACGGCAUCAUUUCUAGAACGCAGCAGAAGCUCUCUUUGCAGUCUCCAGACUGCCCUUUAAACCGAUGGCCCAUGAAUCAUACUUAACCCUCAGAUGUUUUGUUUGACUUACAGAGUUUUCGUUGUUUUUGUUUGUUUGUUUGCUUAACGUGUCCGAUUCAGACAUGCCUUUAGACAAAACACAGCCUCUCCAGGUCACUGGACUUCUGCUGCACGAGGUCUCUGCCUCUCUGUCCUGUUUCCCACCCCAGCCCUCAAGCAUUUGAGUGCACGGAGACUGGUCUGCAUGAGCCCUCCCUCGUUUUGGAAAAACUGGGGCCCAUUCCAGGGAGGUGCAGGUCCCCCGUUCUCAAGUCUGGGCCGCGCAGGAAUUAAAGCCCCUGUGUUCUGAUUCACUGUGUGGUGACCUUUCCUCCACCCUCGGUCGCUGCCCGAGCGGAGGAGUGUCUAGGCAUGAGGGGGUGGAAAACCCUCCAAAUAGAACGUCUGCACAGAAAUGGACGGAGGCUGCACUGUGCUUCCCAAACCUUCUCCCUGCGUGGUGGCGUACCCAGCCCUCUGGCUGGGCGGUUUCCCUUCCCCGACAGCGCACCAGACUCUUCCCACUGGCCCGUGUGCGUGGGACUGUUGGGCCAGGCUGGGACGAUCACACCGUCCGCCUUUGACAGCAAAGCCCUAGCAGGCUGGGGCCUCCAGCCCCCGUUAGACCACCUGGCCCCGUCCAACAAGGGAACAGAAACACCAGCUAGCUUCAGCGGCACAUGCUGUUAUUUCCGGGAGCCACAAUACAUACAGGCCUGGAUCUGGAAGCCUUCAGAGCUGGUGGACAGCCCGAAAGAUCCGGAUUCUACUCUGUCUCCUCUUUCCUUAGUUGUGGCAUCCCAGGAGAUACAGACCUGUUUUCUCAGCUUCCGAUGACCAAAACAAAAGCAAACAAACAAACAAACAAAAAACCCGACACAUUUAGGAGAUGGGAAAUCUAAUUUGAACACAGGAUGCAAAUCUUAUUUUCAGACACAUUUUUGAAAACAACACAAAACUCGGUCCUUGUGUUAGAGGAUUAUCUACUUACCACCACUUCAGGGCACGACAUUUGUGUGCGUGUGUCACAGCAGAGGUUAAACAAAGAUUGCUAGUGUUCUGACCCUUACUUGAGGCUGGGAAGGUGGACCCCAGGCUCUUCCUGAAUAGGGCGCAUCAGGAGUUGCCCCCGAGCAGGUGAAACUCACCUGGCUCGAACCUCCUGGGCAGAUAGGAUGCUUGUUUCCUGAUGACGUGACAUAGUAUCAGAAGACACUGCGUGCUGUGAAAUGUUUUCGAGAGCAGGGGGCGAUGCUAAUGAAAACGUUAACGCAUUUUCAUAAUAGCUCUGGGAUACUUCCCUUCAUCACAUGUGUAAUAAACUGUUAGGACUGGUUGUCCGGGAUCAACUAGACUUCAUGAGUUUUGUAUUGCUCCCGUCUGUGUGACGCGUCAGCCGCGACUUUCACAUUCCUUGAGCAUCCCUGGCUAGGUCCGCUCUGUGCCUCUCUCAUGGACUGCGAUGUCCCAUCCCAAGUGGAACUGCAAGAAGACAGGGCAGCACCUGGGUCUUCCGGUUGUGUCUUCCUUCUUUCUUCAAUGAGAUCCUCUUCUUCUGGAAGCUGGUUUCACAUGGUGGCUUAGAUUUUUCCAUCUUUGUAUCUAGCACCAUUUGAAAUCAGUGUUUUAGGAGUAAGAAUUGCGGCGCAGCAAAGGGCCACCUGCAGAGGAGCUCUCGCUGGUGGGACGGACCCCCUCCUUCUGCCGCCUGAGCCGGUCCAAGAGAGGAAGAACUUGAAAAGGAAAAGUGCACCGCAGCGUAUGUCCGUUGCGGGUUGUGGAGGGGCGGCCGUGCGGGGGCGGGGGGGGGGGGUGUUUGUGUUUCAAAGAAACUCCGAGCUGGAGCAGGGGCCGAGGUGAUGCCUGGUUGUAGCACCUGGGAGCACCACCGGGCGCUCACCUGUCCGUAGGGCCUCUGACCGCGGGGACCAGGCGAUGCCGGCUCCUCCGGUACUCGAUUGUAGCGGGGGAGGGGCGAGGCUGUGUGCCUGGAGGACGGUUCCAUCCCCGUCGGCGUUGCACCCGCUGCUAGAGGCCCCGGAACACCCAGCUGCACUUGCAGUGCGGCUGGAAUCAGACUUGCCACCUGCACGGUCAAGUGCCGGACCCCGGGGAGCACCACUGGACCCAUCUCUUACACAGGCUGACCGAUUUCUCCUGGUGUUCAGAGUCUGUUUUUGUCUAGCACCAUUUGAAAUCGGUUAUGAUGUAGGGGGAAAAGCAGCAGCCUCGAAACCUCACGCCAAGUCUGGUGAGCAACAGCCUCUGUUCUCCUGGAAGACGUGGUCUCCCGGAAGACGGAUGGGCAGAAGGUGGGGAAGGACGAUCACGCUUUUUUCACUAACUUCUUUCACUGCAUUAAUGAUACAUUGUUGCAGAGGUAAGAGAGAAUUGAAUGCGGUUUUAAAAACAAAUCGCUGUAACCUAUCUGAUGUCCUCAGUCGCAGUUUGCUAAAAUGUGGCAAUGCUGUGUAUUCUGUAAAUGGCUGCUGUUGAAUUCUCUUUCUGUUAAGAGUCUAUUCAUGCAUCUUGACCUGAAUAAAUAUUUUACUCUCUUCAAUCAAUCAUGCCUUUGUUUUUCAUCUGAUCAUUUUCUGUUCGUAAUGCCAUGAGAAGUGGGGUCCUGCAAAUGUUAACUUGCUAUGCAGACUUACCUACUUCCUAAAGAACUGGAGGAGGUUACGGCAGACACACGUUAAAAACGAAGCCCGUUAAGAUAAGAAUGAGGUCCUGUGAGCCAAGAAAUAAAAUGAGAGAAAAGAUCACGGAAAAGAGAAAUGUUCAAGCCUGGGCUGAGGGAUGCUCCUUUUUGAAGGGGAAACUGAGGCUGGUUCCGAAGGGGCUGCAUGCAGCCCUGUGGCCCCUCUGCGGUCGGUGUUCCUUCCGGAAGCUUUUGCACAACCGAACAUACUGCCACAUGGCUGGUAAAGGGGAGCAGCCUGAUGGUUUCAGUUGCUUUAUAAAAGACGCAGGAGGGGGUUCCUGGGUGGCUCCGUUGGUUAACCAUCCGAUUGUUGAUUUCAGGUCAGGUCAUGAUCUCACGAUUUGGGAGUUCGAGCCCCAAGUCAGACUGUGUGCUGACAGUGCAGAGCCUGCUUGAGCUUCUCCCCUGCCCCUCUCCCUCUCCCUCUCCCUCUCCCUC